Long non-coding RNA from Populus trichocarpa (black cottonwood), 1487 nucleotides. RefSeq lists it as uncharacterized. The record is from RefSeq and is a predicted model, not a curated record. NCBI's taxonomy places the organism in Eukaryota, Viridiplantae, Streptophyta, Magnoliopsida, Malpighiales, Salicaceae. The transcript has 4 exons.
GUUGGAGAUGACAUCCCAUAGGCCAUCACUGGCCAGGACGAGGAAUUCAUCAUUUUCAGUUCGCUUAUCCACGGUGACUUCUGGUUUGGAGGAUACAAAUGGUUUGAGAUACUGAUCACCUGCAUCAAGAUGUUAAAGCCAUCAACUCUCAAGGAUGGUUAACAGCAGUUUACUAGUGAUCAACGUGAUCUGGUUGUGCUCUGCCCUAGCUGUAAGGCAGCACAGGUCUAGCUACUAGUCCCCCAUUACUAAAUUAUCAUGAGGCUCCGAUUGUUUUUGUGAUGCGGUCUGCAUUUUAUGUCAAUCAUAAAUUUAAAAAUAUUCGGUAAUCUCUUGAAACCUUGACAAUUCAUAGACUUAAUAAAUAUAGCACAGAAAAUUCAUCGUAAACGAAUAAGUUUAAAUGUGAGUGAUCUGUUUGAAAUUUGAUACAGCAUAAUUUUUCGUGUACCAUGCAAGUGAGGAAGAAACUAGACAAAAACAUGUAUGGAGACGCCAGCAAAGAAGAAACAUGAGAGAACAAGAUGAUCUAGCUUCCGACUUGUAAUAAUUGAUGGAAGUUUCACAUACCUAUAGAUCUGGAAGUGGCAAGAACUCCUAGAACACGGUGUCCGUUCCAGUUUAUAACCCUUCCACCUGCAGCUUCAACUCUCUCCAACUCAUCAGGUCUGUCAGGCUUCGCAAAAAAGAGGUGUCAACAAAUUAUUCAUCUUAAACAUUAAAAAAAGAAAGAGACUAAACCUUUAAAAAACAAUGGUCAUAUAGCAUAAUUUGUUCAAACAUUAUAUUUUCCAUUUUUCCCUUUUAUUUUUGAUUAAAUGACCCCUUUUAAGAUCUGUAGCUUGGAAGCUCAACCUCAGAAGGAGUGGAUUAAUUCUGAUUGCUUUUUCCCAAAUUAUUUGCAGUAACUGUGUCCAGUUCAGGGGAAAAUUAGCACCACAGAUGAAUGCCAAAUUUCAUAAUGUGAUUGGGUAACAGAUCACAUUGUCUUAAAUUGAAGACAACAUGUCAAGAAAAUCCCAGGUCGGCUAAGGAAUUUUAUCAAGAACACAACUGAUAAGUCCACAAAAUCCCAGGAGCGAGUUCCAUCCUUGAAAUGAUGAAAUCUAUUGGCAUCUCUUACCUCUACUUCUCUCCCUCUGACAAUAGAGAAGUGUUUGAAUGCUGCGUGACAAUCUCCAUAGACGCGAAGGUUUUUGAACACCCUAAUGGGUUUUGAACUGGAUGUGCUUAUAAGACGAAGUGCUACAACAAUUUUCUCACUGUGCUGAAGCAAGUAGAAGGGCUACGCAAACAUAUCUGCAGAAAGUGAGGCGUUCUAUAAUCUUUGAGGGUGUCAUAUUUGUCCAACUGAAAGCAAGGCAUGUACUAUAAUCUUCGUACAUUGAACAAUGAUGGUGUUUGGGAUGCAAACUAAGUAUAAAUAUUUGAACUCUGUUCUUUUGAUUCUCAAAGUGAUAAGAAUGGCUGUCAUUUCUUGAGUUCAA